Molecule: RNA transcript, 4298 nt
Organism: Chenopodium quinoa (quinoa)
Lineage: Eukaryota; Viridiplantae; Streptophyta; Magnoliopsida; Caryophyllales; Amaranthaceae
Gene name: DENN domain and WD repeat-containing protein SCD1-like
Exons: 3
Source: RefSeq, a predicted model, not a curated record
GAAAUGGGCGGGAUUGAGGAAAAUAAUUUUCCCACCAGUUCCUAAAAAACCGGUGCGAAAUCAUAUUUUUCGCACCGGUUCAAAUUGGUCCGAAUUACGAAUAUAAAAAAAAACUGGGCUGCUUUUCUUCUUCUUUCUUUUUUUCUUUCUUUCUUUCCAUGUUCUGUACCUUUGAUUUCCCUCUCGUUUUCGCCUUCGUUCUCUAUCCAGAAUCCCGAAUUUUCACCUUCUCCAUUGAAGUGGUUGCCCUAGCUUUCUCACUCCAUUGAAGCAGCACCUCCGCCUUCUCACUCCACUGAAGCAGCACCUCCGCCUCCAUUGAAUCGUGCUCUAUAUUCUCCAUUGAAGCCAAAUCUGAGCUUUCUCACCUCCAUUGAAGCUGCUCCUGGGGCAGGACUUUGCAGAUGUGUUGAGGAGAUUGUAUUUUCUUAUACAUACCCCAACCUAGAUAGUGAGGUACGCUAACUCUUGUUCUCUCCAUAACAAGUCAUUACCUCAACUUAGAGCAAGUGCUAUACUCUCUCAACAACUGUGACAAGCUAAAAAAAAUAUGUUUUGUGUCAAUAUCUCAAAUCUCAAAACACAUGAAUCAUUUAUUGAAGGCGUCAUUCUGUGUACAUCCAAAAACAGGUUAGCAGCUGUUCUUGCUUGUCUAAGGAUAUGUUGCCAAGUUUUGGAUAUUUUUGAGUUCUGUUUCAAUAGUGUGAACCCUUCGCUUAAGUUUGUCUGGCCCUUUGAAUAUAUUUCUUUGAUUUAUCACAUUGUUAAACUUCUUUUCAAGAAUCUUUUUGCAGAAUAUUUAUGCAUUAUAAGCCUGUAUAAAAUCUCAUUCCUUAAACUAUUUUGUGUUGAUGUUUAGGUCUUGUAUGUGUUCCUAUUGAUCCCAACCAACGUGAGGACUUUGUUUAAAAUGCCUAGGCUAUGUGAUACUGGUUAAAUUUGUUUAUAAUGGAAUGUGCUUAGUUGAAUUUUUUGGAACUUAUUCUUACUAAACUUUUUUUGCUAGAACUUUUUGUAAUAAGCUGAGGAUUCCGUGAUGUACUUUUUGAGUAUUAUUUCGAUCAUCAGAUUUUGCAUCACUUCUGAUUCUUUUGGUCUCUUCAGGUCAUCCAAUUACGCCACUCUGGUUAUGAUAUAGCUUAUUGUAGUAACUUCAUGUAUGGUACACUCUACUCUUAUUUUUAACCACAUGAUUGACACUGCUGCUGAUUACUGAAUUUUGAUUAUGUACAUUAUAAUGGCUGGACUGGGAAUACCCAAUACUGAAGCUUGGAACAUUAUUGAGACCACAGCAGAGAAAAACAACAUUGGGUUUAAGCAAUUUUUGAGUAUUUAUCAGCUUUCUUUACUUAUUUUAUCCAUGUUCCUUUUUCCUACACCUUUGUCUGUCAAGUUGUAGUGAAGACGAUAGUACUAUACUACUACCUGCUCUGUCUAGAUCUGAGAGGACUAAAUCUACCCCUUAAUGAAACGGUUCUCCCUCCAUUCCAUGUUAAGAGUCCAAAAUGAAAUUCUUGUUGUUGUGAGUGUGAAGAGUCUAUAAGAAAUAUUUUUUGCUAUUUCUGGGCUGCCGGGGCAAGUGGGCAUUAUGUGCUUGCAGAAUCACUUUGAGAGAGUUAAAUACAUUAGUUAUUUACUAUUAAAUCGCUGCUUUACAUUGUGUCACAAGAACGGAGGUGUGGGAUCUUGUUGGUGACCGUGAGGAUGCAAGCUUCUUUAUUAGUGGAAGCACUAAUUGCCUGGUUAAGAUAUGGGAUCCAAGUCUUCGUGGUUCAGAGCUUCGGGCCACUUUGCAAGGGCAUACCGGGUAACUUCUAUAUCUUAUUUUUAUGUCUUAUUUUCCCUUUGUCUUCUUUACAUUGAUGUAUAUUCUUAAGUUUGUUGUCUUCCAGAGCCGUGCGUGCUAUAAGCUCUGACCGAGGAGAGUAGUGUAAGUGUUGUGUGUCAAGUAUUUGUUUCUAGUUGCAUUUUAGUUUGCAUAGUUUAAAAUGUGUUUAUCCUAACUUGUUUGAUAGAUGUAUUAGCCAGUGUUCUGAUUAAUUUAUGGAGUGGAUAUUGAAGGCAAUCUGCAUUGGUGUAGUCAAGUUUAUUGAGCUUUGUUAGACAGGUUACCAAUUUUGAAAAAAAUGUGUAGGCUUCUCAGUGGUUUAGGAACUAUGAUAAAUAUGCUGAAUUAGAUCCUUUAGUUACGACUCUAUGUUGUUGUUUGCUUUAAUCUCAGCUUCUCAGUGGUUUAGGAACUAUGAUAAAUAUGCUGUUGUUUAUGUUAUUUAAUCAUUAGAGUGUGAUGUUAGAUUUUUCCCAGUUUAGUGUGAUAGUUAUUAAGCCAGAAAUGUAUAGAAUUUGUUUAGCUGAGAGCAAUGAAGAGAGUGCAACAUGUUGCUGAUCUUAUCUGUCUCAAAUCACUCGAACUUACCAAUGUAUGGCUAAAAGCUAUGUUAUAUGGACUUGGGAACAGGUGUCGGACACGGACACAUGUCCAAGUGUCCGAUCCGGCAAGUUCCAAAAUUUUAGGACACGGGGAUUCUGUCCGAUAUUUGGACAUGGGUACAUAGACAUGUCAAUACGUCACUUAAAUUAAUAUAAAUAUAUUACAUAUUACAAAAGCUUUGAAUUUUUCAUUACGUCCACCCCUAUUUUUUUAAUCUUAAUUCUUUCCUCGGUAAAUUAUCCUAAUAAAUGACAAUGUUCUUCCCUCCAUCUUCCCUUUAUUAAUGGUGGUCUUUGAACAAGAUGUGUUUUUCUUUCAUGUUUCUCCUCUUUUUUCCUCUCCACUCUUAAUGGAAGUGUCCGAGUGCACUGUGUAGGGUCGGACACGUGUCUCUGUCGUGUCGUGUCGACAUGGAUACUUCACGAUUUUAGCCGUGUCCGAUUAACAUAGGCUAAAAGUAUGCCUAGUAUUUGUUUACUUUGGGUUGUGAUCAUGAUUUAAAGCUCUUACAUUGUUUAAGGUGCAUUUGAGCAGAUCCAUUUUGCCCAUGUAAUUUAUUAGGACAAGAUAGCGUACCAGUUACAUGUUGCUUCAUAAUUAAGGGGAACAAAAUGGGUUUCUUAAGUUGCUUUCUCUUUAACAUGAUGUGUAAUUCAAUAUUCAUACCUUCUUAAUUGUCGUGCUUUACUGAAAUGGUUUGGUGAUUUUAACUGAAUAACAAUUGCUGCAAACACUGAAUUAUGAAUGUGUGUUCUGUUGCCUUUUCUUUUACUUAUAUUCAUAUCUUAUAGAUUCAUCUCUUACAGAUUUGGGUUUUUUAUUUGCCAUAUUUGUUUUGGGGGGGUUGGGGUGAGGCUGUUUUUCUUAAACUGAGAUCGUGCAAGUUGCCUUAAAUCUCUAUUCUUCCUGCUUGUUUUCUUAGGCUGCUGUUUUGUCUGUUUUUUGCUUCUGUCAUGGUUUUCAGGUCGGGUUUCAACUUCUUUGCCCUGUUCUGUGCUGGUGCCUGACUUGCUGGUGCUGUGUUGCUGUGUUUCUUGUUGGUGGUGUGUGUUUCUGUCUUGUUCAGGCUGUUAGGAUGCCUGGUCUGAGCUUCUGGCUUUCUGUUUGCUGUCUGUUCAGACUGUUCUGCCUGCUAUCUGCUGUUUUGGUUGCGCUGCUAUGUUCAAUGCUGCUUUUCUAACAAGUUGUUGUAUGUUUGUGCUGCUGUUGCACUAUUGUGUUGUUGGUCUGCUGGUUUUGACUGCUCGUGCUGGCUGCCUAGCCGUAGUGUAGCUUCUGGUUGCUGUUUUGCUUGUUGCUACUUGGGAUUGCUGGUCGUGGUGUGGCUUUGCUAUCUCAUUCUCUAUUGCAGGCUUGGGGUGAGUGGGAGCUGCUGUAGUCUGCUGUUUUUUUUUCUUAGUUUUAAUUCUAUUUAUCAAAUAUUGAAGAAAAUAUGUGUUUUAUGUAUAUUAUGAUUAUAUAUAAGGAUUUGGUACAAUUUAAGUGAAAAAAUGCAAUUUUUUUUUAUUUUAUAUUUUUUAUUUUUUUGGGGCACUUUUGGCAGCGGUUUUGGAAAAGAACCGGUGCUAAAAGUUUUGUUUAAAUUUUUUUGGAGACUUUUGGCACCGGUUCUAAGACAGAACCGGUGCGAAAAGUUUAGUUUUUGGCAAAUGUAUGGGGUUUUAGCACCCCCCAAAUCCCCACCAGUUCAAAACCGGUGCUAAAUGGGGGGUUUGAACCGGUGGGGAUUACGUAUUUUCGCCUAGUGAGUGUCUUAUUUGUUUGAUUCUCUGUGUUGUUAGUUGAGUAGUGUUAUUUCCUCACCUUUGUCUUCGACCUAGCUUAGGUGCACAUUGGAAACACUUGAACAAAAUCGUUCCGAGUGGUU